GUCCACGCCGUAAACGAUGGGUGCUAGGUGUGAGCGGUGUCGACUCCGCUCGUGCCGAAGCUAACGCAUUAAGCACCCCGCCUGGGGAGUACGGCCGCAAGGCUAAAACUCAAAGGAAUUGACGGGGGCCCGCACAAGCAGCGGAGCAUGUGGUUUAAUUCGACGCAACGCGAAGAACCUUACCAGGGCUUGACAUGCACGGGAAUGUCGUAGAAAUACGGCAGCCCUUCGGGGCUCGUGCACAGGUGGUGCAUGGCUGUCGU
This 263-nucleotide ribosomal RNA is filed under the name uncultured bacterium. RNAcentral describes it as "partial 16S ribosomal RNA". It matches the Rfam family "Bacterial small subunit ribosomal RNA", at positions 793 to 1055 of the family's 1533-position model. The record is from RNAcentral.